This 433-nucleotide ribosomal RNA is filed under the name uncultured bacterium. RNAcentral describes it as "partial 16S ribosomal RNA". It matches the Rfam family "Bacterial small subunit ribosomal RNA", at positions 29 to 507 of the family's 1533-position model. The record is from RNAcentral.
AACGAACGCUGGCGGCAGGCCUAACACAUGCAAGUCGAGCGGACCCUUCGGGGUUAGCGGCGGUCGGGUGAGUAACGCGUGGGAAUAUGCCCUUCUCUACGGCAUACUCCUGGGAAACUGGGGGUAAUACCGUAUACGCCCUUUGGGGGAAAGAUUUAUCGGGGAAGGAUUAGCCCGCGUUGGAUUAGGUAGUUGGUGGGGUAAUGGCCUACCAAGCCGACGAUACCUAGCUGGUUUGAGAGAAUGAUCAGCAACACUUGGACUGGGACACGGCCCAGAAUCCUACGGGAGGCAGCAAUGGGGAAUCUUAGACAAUGGGGGCAACCAUGAUCUAGCCAUGCCGCGUGAGUGAUGAAGGCCUUGGGGUUGUAAAGCUCUUUCAGCUGGGAAGAUAAUGACGGUACCAGCAGAAGAAGCCCCGGCUAACUCCGUG